Non-coding RNA from Salmo salar (Atlantic salmon), 58 nucleotides. The record is from Rfam. NCBI's taxonomy places the organism in Eukaryota, Metazoa, Chordata, Actinopteri, Salmoniformes, Salmonidae.
UGGCUCAGUUGGUAGAGCCUGGUGUUUGCAACGCCAGGGUUGUGGGUUCGAUUCCCAC